RNAcentral lists this ribosomal RNA (431 nucleotides) under uncultured bacterium. RNAcentral describes it as "partial 16S ribosomal RNA". It matches the Rfam family "Bacterial small subunit ribosomal RNA", at positions 338 to 795 of the family's 1533-position model. The record is from RNAcentral.
CCUACGGGGGGCAGCAGUGGGGAAUUUUGCACAAUGGGGGAAACCCUGAUGCAGCAACGCCGCGUGAGUGAAGAAGGCCCUUGGGUUGUAAAGCUCUUUCGGCCGGGAAGCGGUACCGGAAGAAGAAGCACCUGCUAACUUCGUGCCAGCAGCAGCGGUAAUACGAAGGGUGCAAGCGUUGUUCGGAAUCACUGGGCGUAAAGGGCGCGUAGGCGGGUUUGUAAGUCACAUGUGAAAUCCCUAGGCUUAACCUGGGACGUGCAUGCGAUACUGCAAGUCUUGAAUGUCUGAGAGGGAGGCGGAAUUCCAGGUGUAGAAGUGAAAUUCGUAGAUAUCUGGAGGAACAUCCGAGGCGAAGGCGGCCUCCUGGCAGAAAUGACGCUAAAGAGCGAAAGCGCGGGGAGCAAACAGGAUUAGAUACCCUUGUAGUC